Molecule: long non-coding RNA, 2266 nt
Filed under: Homo sapiens (human)
Lineage: Eukaryota; Metazoa; Chordata; Mammalia; Primates; Hominidae
Description: non-protein coding lnc-GMDS-9:1
Source: RNAcentral
GAAGGGAGUGGACCUGGAAUCUUGGGUAAGCCCAAGCAGCACUGUGAUCUACCUGGAGCCAACUCUAGGGAAAAUAAACAGCUGGAAAUGUUAUUUGAAGCAACCCCCGCCCCCAUAACCUGCACACAUGGAUGCAUGUGCGCAUGUACACACACACGCAUACACAUGCACACAGGCAUAUACCUAUCCCCAUAUCUCCAGGUGUUGCCUUUCUUUCCUCCUCAGCCUCCCAAGGCCUAUUCACAAUUCCGACUAAUAUUAGAAUUGGGAGGUAAAAAGUUCCCAUUUCCAGUGGGAAGACUUUGGAGCAGCCCAGAGUGGGCAUUGAUGACCCGCAGCUGAGCAGGAGUUGAUGAGCUCACAUGAAGGGUGGCCUCUCCUCUAAAACCUUGGCGGAGAGGCCCUUCUCAGGAUAUCAUUGCUGACUCAAAAGAUCUUGAUACUUUACAGAGUCUUUAAUAUCUAGCCAAUUAAUUUCUAGAUUUUUCUUUCAGAAAAAAACUUUAAACUUUUUAUUUUGGAAUAAUGAUAGGUCCACAGGAAGUUUCAAAAAUCAAAGGCCUGUGUACCCUUCCCCAACUUUCCCCCAAAAGUAACAGCUUACAUGACGAUUGUACAGAGCCAGGAAAUAGACAUGAGUAUAGUACUGCUGACUGGUCUACAGACCUUAGGCAGAGUCCCCAGUUUUCACCUGCACUCAUUCGUGUGUGUGUGUGUGUGUAUAGUUCCAUGCAAUCUUGUCCCAUGUGCAGUUUCUACCACAACCCAAAUCCCAACCGUUCUAUCUGCACAACGUCACUCUCACACUACCUUUCUUUGUGUGUGUGUGUGUGUGUGUGUGGAAUUUUUUUUUAAAUUUUACUUUAAGUUCUGGGAUUCAUGUGCAGAACGUGCAGGUUUGUUGCAUAGGUAUACAUGUGCCAUGAUGGUUUGCUGCACCUAUCAACUCAUCAUCUAGGUUUUAAGUCCCACAUGCAUUAGGUAUUUGUCCUAAUGAUCUCCCUCCCCUCACCCCAACCCCCCAACAGGCCCUGGUGUGUGAUGUUCCCCUCCCUGUGUCCAUGUGUUCUCAUUAUUCAACUCCGACUUAUGAGUGAGAACAUGCAAUGUUUGGUUUUCUGUUCCUGUGUUAGUUUGCUGAGAAUGAUGGUUUCCAGCUUCAUCCAUGUCCCUGCAAAGGACAUGAACUCAUUCUUUUUUAUGGUUGCAUAGUAUCCUAUGGUGUAUAUGUGCCACAUUUUCUUUAUCCAGUCUAUCACUGAUGGGCAUUUGGGUUGGUUCCAAGUCUUUGCUAUUGUAAAUAGUGCUGCAGUAAACAUACACUUGCAUGUGUCUUUAUAGUAGAAUGAUGUAUAAUCUUUUGGGUAUACACCCAGUAAUGGAAUUACUGGGCACGCUGCCUUUUUACAGUCACAUGCCACUACACACACACAUUCCCCCCUGGAUCCCCAUCCCCUGGCAAACACUAAUUUUUCUCCAUCUCUAUAAUGAUGUCAUUUCAAGAAUGUUAUAUGACUGGGAUCAUAUAGUAUGGAACCUUCUGAGAUUGGCUUUUUUCACUCAGCAUAAAGCCUCAGCACUGUGUUCCUUCUGACUGCUCAGUAGUAUGCCAUGGUGUUAAACUGUGGCAUAUCCACACCAUGGCAUACUACUGAGCAGUCAUAUGCCACAGUUUAACCAUGCAGUCUCCCAAGGACAUUUGGAUGAUUUUCAGGUUUUGAUUGUUGGAAAUAAAGCUUCUACAAAUAUUUGUGUGUGGGUUUUUGCAUGGACACGAGUUUCCGCUUCUCUGGGAUAAAUGCUGAGGGGCAAGCUCUGCACCACGUGACAAGUAUAUGUUUAGUUUCAUAAGAAACUGCAAAACUGUUCUUCAGAGUGUCUGUACCACUUUGCCUCCCCACAUGCAAUGUCUGAGAGAUGCAAUAUGUCUGCCUUCUUGCCAGUGUUUGGAACCAUCACUAUUUUUUUGUUCUAGCUGUUCUGAUAGGUGUGUAGUGAUGUGUCAGAUAUCUCAUUGUGGCUUUAAUUUGCAUUUUCCUAAUGGCUAAUGAAGUUGAGCAACUUUUCAUUGCAUAUUUGCAAUCUCUUCUUUGGUGAAAUGUCUGUUCAGGGUAGGUUAUGCUGUGGUGGUGAUCUUUUCUUGACUUUAAUUGCAUUCGUAUAGUCAUUACCACACAACUGAAUAAAGGAAAAUUAAAGUGGUGAGUGCUUAUUCUAUUAUCUGUUUUUGCCUCCAUGGUGCUGUGUUUGGAGUCUAAGGCUCCGC